This is a non-coding RNA of Paramuricea clavata, 621 nucleotides long. NCBI's taxonomy places the organism in Eukaryota, Metazoa, Cnidaria, Anthozoa, Malacalcyonacea, Plexauridae. The record is from the annotation of a GenBank genome assembly.
UUCGGACUUGCGUAAAAAUGUCAAUUAUCUGUCCAUUAGGCAAGAUAGAUAACUCGUCAAUUUGUCAAAGAUGGACGAUAACCUUGCAUGGCGGCCCGUUGUGUUUACAUAAUUCAAAGUCCAAGGCUGCAUGGUUCUUCUCUGACAUGAAAAUGUGCAUGCUUAGGGCCUUUCUGUCAAUCAUUCUUAGGUAUAUUUCGCACGGUUGAGUAAUGAUAACAUUACGUCAGCAAAAUUUUGGUUCGAUAAUAUUGUAAGUAAAUUUAGUUUAGUAGGUAAAGUAAGGUUCACAUAGAGAUAAGUUGAAGUUUUUACUAUGAUAUUUUGAUAAGUAUUUUAAGUUGUGAACAUAUUUUAAUGAUGAUCGAUUGAACAGCGAACCAACUCGACAAGUGCGACAACGCCUUAAAUAAACAGAAUUUGAGAGCUGGAACGAGCUACCAACGCCAACCCACACUUUUAAACCUCAACGUUGAUUGGCUGGAUGCAAAUCACACCACUUGCUACAUCACGUGUACAAAGAUCCCUCAACCGUUAAUAUAAAAGGGCGUGCACAACCCAAAUUCGUCAGUGGACGCACGCUGAAUAAAGCUUAAAUGAUGAAACUAACCUCAAAGCUCA